Molecule: unclassified non-coding RNA, 250 nt
Filed under: Hevea brasiliensis (rubber tree)
Lineage: Eukaryota; Viridiplantae; Streptophyta; Magnoliopsida; Malpighiales; Euphorbiaceae
Source: RNAcentral
AAAAGAGCCCUUAUAGGUCACUUUGACAUUAGUGCCCAAGGGCAGUUGUUUGCAUUUUGUCAUGUCAUUGAGAUUAAGUGGAGGAAGAACAGCUCCUCCAAAGGAGAAAGAAAUGGGACAUUGUUACGAGAGGCAUUCCAUUGAUAAGGUAUGUUGCUGCAAGGACUGCAUCCCCCAAUCGAGAGAAAUAAAUUCUCAAGAGAAAUAAAUUAUCAACUUUUAAUUCUCAAAUUAAUUAUCAAUCAUAGAA